ACGUAGGUGGCGAGCGUUGUCCGGAAUUAUUGGGCGUAAAGAGCAUGUAGGCGGCUUAAUAAGUCGAGCGUGAAAAUGCGGGGCUCAACCCCGUAUGGCGCUGGAAACUGUUAGGCUUGAGUGCAGGAGAGGAAAGGGGAAUUCCCAGUGUAGCGGUGAAAUGCGUAGAUAUUGGGAGGAACACCAGUGGCGAAGGCGCCUUUCUGGACUGUGUCUGACGCUGAGGUGCGAAAGCCAGGGUAGCGAACGG
Molecule: ribosomal RNA, 250 nt
Filed under: uncultured bacterium
Lineage: Bacteria
Description: partial 16S ribosomal RNA
Rfam family: Bacterial small subunit ribosomal RNA
Source: RNAcentral